CAUGAUUUACAUUUGAGUGAGUGGCGAACUGGUGAGUAACACGUGGGAAACCUGCCCAGAAGCGGGGGAUAACACCUGGAAACAGAUGCUAAUACCGCAUAACAACUUGGACCGCAUGGUCCGAGUUUGAAAGAUGGCUUCGGCUAUCACUUUUGGAUGGUCCCGCGGCGUAUUAGCUAGAUGGUGGGGUAACGGCUCACCAUGGCAAUGAUACGUAGCCGACCUGAGAGGGUAAUCGGCCACAUUGGGACUGAGACACGGCCCAAACUCCUACGGGAGGCAGCAGUAGGGAAUCUUCCACAAUGGACGAAAGUCUGAUGGAGCAACGCCGCGUGAGUGAAGAAGGGUUUCGGCUCGUAAAACUCUGUUGUUAAAGAAGAACAUAUCUGAGAGUAACUGUUCAGGUAUUGACGGUAUUUAACCAGAAAGCCACGGCUAACUACGUGCCAGCAGCCGCGGUAAUACGUAGGUGGCAAGCGUUGUCCGGAUUUAUUGGGCGUAAAGCGAGCGCAGGCGGUUUUUUAAGUCUGAUGUGAAAGCCUUCGGCUCAACCGAAGAAGUGCAUCGGAAACUGGGAAACUUGAGUGCAGAAGAGGACAGUGGAACUCCAUGUGUAGCGGUGAAAUGCGUAGAUAUAUGGAAGAACACCAGUGGCGAAGGCGGCUGUCUGGUCUGUAACUGACGCUGAGGCUCGAAAGUAUGGGUAGCAAACAGGAUUAGAUACCCUGGUAGUCCAUACCGUAAACGAUGAAUGCUAAGUGUUGGAGGGUUUCCGCCCUUCAGUGCUGCAGCUAACGCAUUAAGCAUUCCGCCUGGGGAGUACGGCCGCAAGGCUGAAACUCAAAGGAAUUGACGGGGGCCCGCACAAGCGGUGGAGCAUGUGGUUUAAUUCGAAGCUACGCGAAGAACCUUACCAGGUCUUGACAUACUAUGCAAAUCUAAGAGAUUAGACGUUCCCUUCGGGGACAUGGAUACAGGUGGUGCAUGGUUGUCGUCAGCUCGUGUCGUGAGAUGUUGGGUUAAGUCCCGCAACGAGCGCAACCCUUAUUAUCAGUUGCCAGCAUUAAGUUGGGCACUCUGGUGAGACUGCCGGUGACAAACCGGAGGAAGGUGGGGAUGACGUCAAAUCAUCAUGCCCCUUAUGACCUGGGCUACACACGUGCUACAAUGGAUGGUACAACGAGUUGCGAACUCGCGAGAGUAAGCUAAUCUCUUAAAGCCAUUCUCAGUUCGGAUUGUAGGCUGCAACUCGCCUACAUGAAGUCGGAAUCGCUAGUAAUCGCGGAUCAGCAUGCCGCGGUGAAUACGUUCCCGGGCCUUGUACACACCGCCCGUCACACCAUGAGAGUUUGUAACA
Molecule: ribosomal RNA, 1357 nt
Filed under: Lactiplantibacillus plantarum
Lineage: Bacteria; Bacillati; Bacillota; Bacilli; Lactobacillales; Lactobacillaceae
Description: bacterial SSU rRNA
Rfam family: Bacterial small subunit ribosomal RNA
Source: RNAcentral